UACGAAGGGGGCUAGCGUUGCUCGGAAUCGCUGGGCGUAAAGCGCACGUAGGCGGAUCUUUAAGUCAGGGGUGAAAUCCUGGAGCUCAACUCCAGAACUGCCUUUGAUACUGGGGAUCUCGAGUCCGGGAGAGGUGAGUGGAACUGCGAGUGUAGAGGUGAAAUUCGUAGAUAUUCGCAAGAACACCAGUGGCGAAGGCGGCUCACUGGCCCGGUACUGACGCUGAGGUGCGAAAGCGUGAGGAGCAAACAGG
This 253-nucleotide ribosomal RNA is filed under the name uncultured bacterium. Its description in RNAcentral is "partial 16S ribosomal RNA". It matches the Rfam family "Bacterial small subunit ribosomal RNA", at positions 524 to 776 of the family's 1533-position model. The record is from RNAcentral.